UUCUCCUUUAAGUUUUGUGCACUUUAUUAGUUCUCCCCUUUUCUGUGUGGAUGUCGAUGGGGAGGGGCACAUUGUUAAAGCCAUGUUUAACGGGAGGAUUGGCUUUUUCUGACUGUUAUCAGUUAGCCUGGAUCGUAGCAGUGGCUGGUUGUGUCACUCGUGUGACAUGCUGCGCCCCCCACUCACCAGUGCAAUGUCCUCUCCACUAUCAAGACUUGCACACAC
Corythoichthys intestinalis (scribbled pipefish) is the source of this 225-nucleotide long non-coding RNA. RefSeq lists it as uncharacterized. The record is from RefSeq and is a predicted model, not a curated record. NCBI's taxonomy places the organism in Eukaryota, Metazoa, Chordata, Actinopteri, Syngnathiformes, Syngnathidae. The transcript is spliced from 3 exons.